Molecule: ribosomal RNA, 253 nt
Filed under: uncultured bacterium
Lineage: Bacteria
Description: partial 16S ribosomal RNA
Rfam family: Bacterial small subunit ribosomal RNA
Source: RNAcentral
UACGUAGGGACCAAGCGUUGUUCGGAUUUACUGGGCGUAAAGGGCGCGUAGGCGGUUUGUCAAGUCAGUUGUGAAAUCUCCGAGCUUAACUCGGAACGGUCAACUGAUACUGUCAAACUAGAGUACAGAAGGGGCAAUCGGAAUUCUUGGUGUAGCGGUGAAAUGCAUAGAUAUCAAGAGGAACACCUGAGGUGAAGACGGGUUGCUGGGCUGAUACUGACGCUGAGGCGCGAAAGCUAGGGUAGCAAACGGG